RNAcentral lists this ribosomal RNA (269 nucleotides) under Klebsiella pneumoniae. RNAcentral describes it as "partial 23S ribosomal RNA". It matches the Rfam family "Bacterial large subunit ribosomal RNA", at positions 238 to 543 of the family's 2925-position model. The record is from RNAcentral. Lineage: Bacteria; Pseudomonadati; Pseudomonadota; Gammaproteobacteria; Enterobacterales; Enterobacteriaceae.
CCCCAGUAGCGGCGAGCGAACGGGGAGCAGCCCAGAGUCUGAAUCAGCUUGUGUGUUAGUGGAACGGUCUGGAAAGUCCGACGGUACAGGGUGAUAGUCCCGUACACCAAAAUGCACAGGUUGUGAACUCGAAGAGUAGGGCGGGACACGUGGUAUCCUGUCUGAAUAUGGGGGGGACCAUCCUCCAAGGCUAAAUACUCCUGACUGACCGAUAGUGAACCAGUACCGUGAGGGAAAGGCGAAAAGAACCCCGGCGAGGGGAGUGAAAA